CCCGCAGUCCAUCAUCCCUUACGACACCGUUCCCCUCGCGGCGGCUCCACCACGUCGUUCCGGCGCACCGCUCCCCCGCGGCACCGGCGACGCCGCGCAGCUCCACCAUGCCGCCAGCUCCCUUGCGCAGCUCCCCUCCGCAGUUGCCUCCUCCGUCGCUCCCUCCUGCUCGUGCAUCUCCCGCUCGCCUCCCCCGCAGCUUCCACCUCCCUAAAAAAGGUCCUUGAUUUCCCAGAGAUCCUGCUCCAGCGACGCCAUGAGGGACCAAUUGUUUCCAAUUGCUUCCAAUGCUUGGUCGUGUUGUGUCUUCGCAUCUGACGAACCAAUUGUUGACUGCCUCUCUGACCAUGGGGAGCAGAGGGGGCGGCGACGCGGAUUGACCUGGAGCCGGCCACGGAGCUGGCGCGGAAGGGGGUCACUCUGCUGCUCCUCGAGGUGCCCCAGGUUCAGAUGGUGCCCCCGGGGCCUGCCCUUCGUCUACUACUGCUCCCCCAGCAGGCCGGGGACACUGGUAACUUUCACCAGGAGCAGAGACGGGGUCUCUUGGACAAAAAAUAAGAUUGGGGCUGCCUGUAUGAAGAUCACGGUCGGCACUACCACUAGCAGAAGCUGAGAAGCAGUAGAGGCGGAGGAAGACGACAACAACUGAAAAGGCUGGAGUGGCGGAAGACAUCGCACCGGCGGCCGAAGCGGACGACGCAUGUCCAACUCCCACAUCGAAGUGGGUUGCCGCGGCGGGCGCGAGGAAGUGCCGAGGACGCGAGCAGGACGAAUACGAGGUGUCUCCCGUUAGCCGUGGAGCCGCAGCGCAGGUGAGCCUUCGUCGCCGGCUGAGCCCUUUGCUGGCUGGGCCCGUGGGCGACGGGGGAGACGGUGGCUAGGGCCCGCGGUGCCUGCGGUUGACAGGGGUGGAAGAAGAGACCUGGAUUGAUUAGCAUGAAAUCUAAAAGGAUAGGGUUUUAUUGUAAAAUUACAAUUAAACUACGUUGACGACAUUCUUUUUCGGACGGAGGGAGUAUUCUCCUUCCUAUGUCA
Molecule: long non-coding RNA, 1035 nt
Organism: Hordeum vulgare subsp. vulgare (domesticated barley)
Lineage: Eukaryota; Viridiplantae; Streptophyta; Magnoliopsida; Poales; Poaceae
Exons: 2
Source: RefSeq, a predicted model, not a curated record